CUUGCACUAGGAUAAUGGAGAUGGAGAUGGUAUAUACUCCGAAGGCAUGAAGACAGGUAUUUGCUCCAGGAAACUCAAGACAUGAUGGUUCCGUUUUGGACGAAAAAGAAAAGUAGCACCACUGUGUUAACCCAAUGCUUAGGUGAUUAACUGCAAAUCAAAAAAUUAUCCCCUGUUUGCGCAAUAUGGAAGUACAUAUGGUUAUUGGUCC
Long non-coding RNA from Hordeum vulgare subsp. vulgare (domesticated barley), 211 nucleotides. RefSeq lists it as uncharacterized. The transcript is spliced from 2 exons. NCBI's taxonomy places the organism in Eukaryota, Viridiplantae, Streptophyta, Magnoliopsida, Poales, Poaceae. The record is from RefSeq and is a predicted model, not a curated record.